Long non-coding RNA from Panonychus citri (citrus red mite), 4163 nucleotides. RefSeq lists it as uncharacterized. NCBI's taxonomy places the organism in Eukaryota, Metazoa, Arthropoda, Arachnida, Trombidiformes, Tetranychidae. The transcript is spliced from 8 exons. The record is from RefSeq and is a predicted model, not a curated record.
UCAAUGUAACAAUUUUUUUCUCUCUCUCUUGUUUACAUUCAUGUCAACAAUUUCUCAUUAAUUGUUUUCUUUUUUUUUCUCCUCAGGUAAAAGUUACAAUUUCGAUGAUUAAAUUGAAACAAUUAACGGAAUGUAAGGUGUUAAUUAUAUUCUCUUCUCUCUGGUACAAUUGUGUAACUCUUGACGUUACCUGGCGAUGAUUGGAAAAGGUCAAUACAAACAAUUGAUUCUCUUUGAGUUUUCUGGUCAAGUAAAAUGGAGACGAGAAAAAGAAAAGGAGAUCAAUGUGAGAAGAUGAGGAUCAACGUUAGAUUUAUUUGACCAAAGCUUUUGGACUAAAUGACUUGUUUACGCCUUUUAGAUGAUAAUGAUGACCAUCAUCAUGAUCAACAUCAUGGAACCAAAAUGUGUAUUAAAAGAGGAAAAUUAGAUCAACUAGAAGAUGAUGAUAAGAUGUGAAGGACCAAAGGGUUUAUUUAGGAGAAGAGAAAAUGUUGAUUGUUCCAAAUAAGAUAAUCAAACAUUCAAUGAUUUCUCUGUGUUCUAAAUUAACUGAAUAGAAAUUGAUUUCCAUCAAUUCUCAGUUCAAUACCUAAUCAGAAAACGAUAAAUUAUCAUCAUCUUCAUCAUCUACUUCAUGUUACAAUAUAUUCAUUAUUGUUUGUUGUUUACAAACAAAAUGAACAAUUUCAUUUCCAAUAUUCCAAUGGAAACCUGAUUAUCUCUCUUUCUCACUUUCUUGUUUCCUUUACCUUCAUUAGUUAAUUUCUAAUUUUUGUUUCUCCAUUUUCUUUUUUCUUUUAAGGUUAAAAAACUUUGGCCAUUUUGAUAUCUCACCUUGAUAUCAGUUUCCUUUUCCUCCUUGGAGCUAUUUACCAUCAUCUCUAUUCAACAACAAUACUAAAAGAUUAUUAGGUCAAAGUGGAAAUGUUAUCGUGUCUCUUUGAUCUGAUUACUUUUCUAUCAUGAUUGAGAAAACAUCUACUGGAUAUAACCAAUCUUAAAUAUCUUCCAUGUCAAAUCUACCAUAUAAUUUUGUUGACAUUAAUCAGCUCAACUCUAUCAUCAUCAUCAUCAUCAUCAUCAUUUCUGUCUCUAGUUACACUUGAUCUUUAUUGUCUCUGAUAAUUUUCAUCAAUUUCUUUCUUCUUCCUUAUUAUUAUACCUGUUAUAAUGAUGAUAUUUUCUUUACCUUAAGUCACGUUGAAAGUGUUCUUGUAAUAAUGAGAUAACACAAUUAACUGAUUAACUCAGAUAAAACAUAGACAAAAGCUAAAAGGGUGAGGUCAAAAGUCCUACACUCUCUCUCCAUCAUAAUUGAACAUCAUCAUAAUCAUGAUGAUCACCUUAAUCCUUUUACACAACCUAUUAGAUUACCUUAACUGUUGCUGUUUAUAUAUAAUCAACCUAAUUCCUAAGCUAUUUCCAUGUGAAUUCUGGUUAAUACUUAUAAACUUAACCCAUGGUAUCAAAUUUUAAUCAGACUAACAACAAAUUUGCUUUUUAAUAUUUAAUGAUUCAUAUCCCUUUUCUCACAGGUAAACAAAUGUACAUUGGAUUAUCAUGGAUUCUCAUCAGCAUCAGCAAUGAACAUGGAAUAAGAUUUGAUCCUGGUUACAUCAUUUCCUUUUUCUUCUGUAAAUUCUUACCUAGAAUAAUGAAAACGUUCAUCCCAUGGAAACAGGAAAAGUUCAUAUAUAUAAAUUGUUACCAUGAUGAUGAUUUAAACCAUUAGCACGUUGGAGAUAAAGUUCUUGGAUGAAUCAACAUGAGAAAGAAAAACAAAAAUAGUGUCAAGUUUUUCCUCAUCUCUCUCUCUCUCUCUCUCUCUCUCUCUCUCUCUCUCUCUCUCUCUACCAAAAGUAUAAACUAUAAUUUAUCAGAAAUCAUCAUGUAUAUAAACACGCCAUGAAGUUUCAGGAGGAAUGAAGAUUGUUCAAUCUUAAAGAUGGAUUAGCCCUUGGAGAUUACAUUUUCCUGAUGAUUUACCCUUUUUUUCAUCAGCAUCUUCUUGGUGUAAUUUCAUUUUUAUGAAGACCAUUCAUCAGUCUGUGUCCUCACCCAGGAUUAAAGGAGAAACAGUGUUAAUCUAAUUUUAUUUCUUCGAAUUGAAUUCGAAGUAAAUAAAGACGAAAACUCUUAUUAUCAUUUCUAGUUGAAUAACAAUCAAGUGAAAUGAGGUAAAAACUUUUCUCAUCUACUAUAUAAGUCUACUAGUAUACACUUCAUGUUGAAAUUAAUACAAAGUAUUACGAUAAUCUAUAGUUUAGAAAAUGAUUUUCUCAAUGAAUUUGUUUUCCAAACAAACUCGUACAUUAGAUUGUACAAUCUUCCUAUUUAUCAUGUUUCUAUUUCAAUACAAAUUGAUUGUCACCAUUAAGGUGUAUUAAUACAAUCAUAAACCUUUUACUUGGUUUAAUGAUCUCAAAUAAUAGUCUUUGAAUCAACAGAAUCACCGAGGAGAUAAUAGGAUGCACCAUGAUGGAACUGAAAUGAUUACCUUUUUUUCAUCGUAUCGAUAUUAAUUCACCUGAAUCUCUCUCUCUCUCUUUUCGUCUUCUCUUCUUCAUCAUUUCUUGUUCUGAGAUAAACUCAAUUCCUGAAGAAUCUGAGAGAUGCUUAUUAAUUGAAUUUAAAAGUUAAUUUGAUAGAACCUGACAAGGUGAAUAACUAUUUCCUUGUGAUGAUGAGAUGAUCUUCAUCUAUGGGUCGCUUUGUAUUUGUCUCUUUUUUUACCUGAAAUAUGAGAGUUAAUGAGACGAAAAGAGGCAAAUAGAAAAGACCAUGUUUUCAGUGAUUAAUGGUGACGCCAUUGGAAUCGCCUGAGGACUUGUGAUAAUUUUCAUCAUCAACUUAUUCUAAAUAUUUUCCAUCAAUGGGAUUACAGGAAUAGGAAGGAUACAAAAAAAAGAUGCGAAUCAUUUAUUGGUCAUCCUGGACGAUGGAUGAGGAAAAAGGAUUGACCUUUCAUCUCAGUGGGUUUUGGAACCUGGAAGAUGCGUUGACAUGGGAAAGAACAACAAAUCAACUACAUAACUUGGCGAUCAUGUUAAUAGUGUUUAAUUGUAAAAGAAUCUUGAUAAUUAUUCAAGAUGACUUUUUCCCUGUUUCCAGUUCUCAUCUUUUUUUUGGAUAAUAAUAAUUCUCUAUCACCAUUUCCACUGAGUAACAUUAACCGAUGGAUGAACAAGUCUCACUGUUUUUGGAUCUUCAUCUGAUUUCUCCUGAGAUUCAUGGAUAAUGAAUUGAAUCAACCAGUUUCAAAUAUCGUUUAUUUUUCUCCAAUCAAAUCAACCCUCAGGCCUAUUGAUCGACUCUUUUACCUUUUUUCACUCUCCUGGUCACUCAAUCCAUUCAAUUUCCUUUCUAUAUCCAGGGAGACAAAUCUACUGAUGGUCAAGUUUACUCUCCAUCAACAACUGGACAUCGUUUCAUGGAUCAAUUGAAGGUGUAUUUUCAUACCAUUAACAGGAAGAAAGGUUGUUGAUUUUUUCUUAUCACCUUUUUUUGUUUCUUCUAUUCAAUCAUGGUGAUGGAUCAUGAUGAUCAAUUCUUACACUGGAAGAUACUGCAUGUAAUUGAAGGAAAAACAUGACAAUAACCACUGAGUAAAACAAAACAUCCUCUUGAAACUGAAUUUUUCGUAUUACAAGUAUAUAUACAUAUACUUUUUGCUUGGUUUUAUUAUUGUCAUUAAGCCCCAAAGGCAUUGAAAAAGACGAAGGUACAAUCAAACCCAUCAAGUAUUUAAUUUGAUUACAUGUUCUUUGUCUUUGAUUGACACUUUCAAGUGAAUCUCUGUUCACUUUGUUAUAUCUACAUGAUGUCCACACUAUUAAAUGAGGAAAAAACUUCUACCUCAUGAUAAUAUACACAAGAAAAUCAUUAUUAUAUCAAAUGAAACCUGAUUAACUUGUGACCAGUUAAAAGCAAAUCCAAACUCAGGCCUCAUCACAUGGAUUAAAAAAGUUCUUAAUCUUAUUUCAAAUCAAAUGACAGUUUAUUUACUUGUGAGAAUGACAAAGUAACAACAUUAUCAUGGAUUCAAUUUUUUCUGACCCUUUCACCAAAGAAUCGUAAUGGAAACCGAUAAGCUGAAUACAUUCAAUGAAGAGCUUAAAGCGACAGUAUUUUAUUUUUCCUGCAUUUGAAUUAAUUAUGAA